RNAcentral lists this ribosomal RNA (456 nucleotides) under Triticum aestivum (bread wheat). RNAcentral describes it as "partial small subunit ribosomal RNA". The record is from RNAcentral. Lineage: Eukaryota; Viridiplantae; Streptophyta; Magnoliopsida; Poales; Poaceae.
AUGCCAUCAAGCAGUAGCAGCAACUCGAUGCAGGGACGAGGGAGAGGAGGAGUCCUGCUUCCCCCGCGUGCAUCCUCUCUCUCGGAACGACACCCAACCUCAAGCGAGAGGAAGGUCUUUGAGAACCUAAAGGUUCUUUUUUUGAUUGAUAGAUGCAUGUGUGGGUGGCAGCAGAUCAACCUCCUUCUCAACCCAUGUCAGGCAUCCUCCGUGGAUGAUGACGACAACCAGGGCAUCCACCGCCACGACGACACCCCGCACAUGGUCCAACUCGGCUACAACCUCCUCUACCGCGCGACUGCGGCCGCGGUCGUGUUCGGCAUCGACUACAACCUCCUCUUCGGACCUUUGGUUCAUUAUACUGACUGCAUGCCACCUCUGUCAUCGCCGCCCCGUCUCCCGCACCAUCGGCACCACCCCUCCGCCUUCUCUUUUGAUGCUGUAGUGGAUUCUUAG